RNAcentral lists this ribosomal RNA (531 nucleotides) under Triticum aestivum (bread wheat). RNAcentral's name for it is "partial small subunit ribosomal RNA". Lineage: Eukaryota; Viridiplantae; Streptophyta; Magnoliopsida; Poales; Poaceae. The record is from RNAcentral.
AUGGAGGCUAGGAUUGCUGACUUUGGCUUGUCCAAGGCCUUCAGCAAUGACAAUGAAACCCACGUAUCCAUGAACACAUUUGUUGGCACACCCGGAUAUGUUAAUCCAGAGUACCAGGCGACGAUGCAGCCAACAGCAAAGAGUGACGUGUAUAGCUUUGGUGUCGUACUGCUGGAGCUAGUUACAGGAAAGCCGGCUAUCCUACAGGUUGCGGUGCCCGUCAACAUAAUCCAGUGGGUGCGCCAGCGACUAGCGCGGGCCAACAUUGAGGGUGUGGUGGACGAACGCAUGCGUGGUGGUUACGAUGUCAACGGGGUGUGGAAGGUUGCGGACAUCGCACUCAAGUGCACUGCACAAGCCUCGGUGCAGCGUCCCACCAUGACCGACGUGGUGGCACAAUUGCAGGAAUGUGUCGAGCUAGAGAAUGGGCGUGUUGGAGGCAACACAAACAACGGCUUCCACAUCGGUAGCAGCGGUGAUGACCCGAACUUGAGUUAUGAUGCCUACACCACUGGUCCUGCUGAACGUUGA